CAGUAGCCGCGGUAAUACGUAGGUGGCAAGCGUUGUCCGGAAUUAUUGGGCGUAAAGGGCUCGCAGGCGGUUUCUUAAGUCUGAUGUGAAAGCCCCCGGCUCAACCGGGGAGGGUCAUUGGAAACUGGGAAACUUGAGUGCAGAAGAGGAGAGUGGAAUUCCACGUGUAGCGGUGAAAUGCGUAGAGAUGUGGAGGAACACCAGUGGCGAAGGCGAUUCUCUGGUCUGUAACUGACGCUGAGGAGCGAAAGCGUGGGGAGCAAACAGGAUUAGAUACCCGCGUAGUCCCUGUCUCUUAUAA
RNAcentral lists this ribosomal RNA (301 nucleotides) under uncultured bacterium. Its description in RNAcentral is "partial 16S ribosomal RNA". It matches the Rfam family "Bacterial small subunit ribosomal RNA", at positions 509 to 809 of the family's 1533-position model. The record is from RNAcentral.